CGGGAAACUGGGGAUAAUACCCUAUAGUCCAUGGAUGCUGGAAUGCUUCGUAGUUGAAAGGUCCGCCGCUGUAGGAUGGGUCUGCGGCCGAUUAGGUUGUUGUUGGGGUAACGGCCCAACAAGCCUGUAAUCGGUACGGGUUGUGGGAGCAAGAGCCCGGAGAUGGAUUCUGAGACACGAAUCCAGGCCCUACGGGGCGCAGCAGGCGCGAAAACUUUACAAUGCGGGAAACCGUGAUAAGGGAACUCUGGGUGCCGGUAAAAUCGGGCUGUCCAUCAGUUUAAAGAACUGGUGAAGAAAGGCCCGGGCAAGACCGGUGGCAGCCGCCGCGGUAACA
This 337-nucleotide ribosomal RNA is filed under the name uncultured archaeon. Its description in RNAcentral is "partial 16S ribosomal RNA". It matches the Rfam family "Archaeal small subunit ribosomal RNA", at positions 133 to 475 of the family's 1478-position model. The record is from RNAcentral.